Molecule: ribosomal RNA, 1215 nt
Filed under: uncultured bacterium
Lineage: Bacteria
Description: partial 16S ribosomal RNA
Rfam family: Bacterial small subunit ribosomal RNA
Source: RNAcentral
UAUCGGGCACUCUACAGAACCCCGUACGUUUUCACGGGAAGUGAGAGGAUAGAACUCCACUUUGAUACUAGAGUCAUGAUCAGAUUCUAACGAAGGGCAGCAGAUAAGCAUAUUUGUCAAUAGGAGACAAUCUGAAUCAGCUAUGUCGCAGUGCAGAAAGACAGCCUCGGAUUGUAACUUGAUUUAUUCGGAAUAACCAAUUUAACGGUUUAGUAGCUGAAUGUUACCGAAGAAAUAAGGAUCGGCUACUUCGUGCAAGCAGCCGCCGUAUACGGAGAAUCCAAGCGUUAUCGGAAUUUAUUCGGUUUGAAGAGUGCGUAGGCGGCUUUUUAAGUCAGGGGUGAAAGACCGGUGGCUCAACAAUCGCAGUGCCCUUGAUACUGAAGAGCUGAAUGAACUAGAGGUAGGCGGAAUGUGACAAGUAGCGUGAAAUGCAUAGAUAUGUCACAGAACACCGAUUGCGAAGGCAGCUACUAUGGUUAUAUUGACGCUGAGGCACGAAAGCGUGGGGAUCAAACAGGAUUAGAUAUCGUGGUAGUCCACGCCCUAAACGAUGAAUACUCGCUGUUAGCGAUACACAGUUAGCGGCUAAGCGAAAGCGUUAAGUAUUCCACCUGGGGAGUACGGUCGCAAGAUUGAAACUCAAAGGAAUUGACGGGGGCCCGCACAAGCGGAGGAGCAUGUGGUUUAAUUCGAUGAUACGCGAGGAACCUUACCUACCCUUGACAUGGAAGGAAUCCUCGAGAGAUUGAGGAGUGCCCGAAAGGGAACCUUCACACAGGUGCUGCAUGGCUGUCGUCAGCUCGUGUCGUGAGAUGUUGGGUUAAGUCCCGCAACGAGCGCAACCCUUGUCAUUAGUUGCUACAUUUAGUUGAGCACUCUAAUGAGACUGCCGGUGACAAACCGGAGGAAGGUGGGGAUGACGUCAAGUCCUCAUGGCCCUUAUGGGUAGGGCUUCACACGUCAUACAAUGGUACAUACAGAGGGCCGCCAACCCGCGAGGGGGAGCUAAUCCCAGAAAGUGUAUCGUAGUCCGGAUUGUAGUCUGCAACUCGACUACAUGAAGUUGGAAUCGCUAGUAAUCGCGGAUCAGCAUGUCGCGGUGAAUACGUUCCCGGGUCUUGUACACACCGCCCGUCACACCAUGGGAGCGGGUUUUACCAGAAGUAGGUAGCUUAACCGUAAGGAGGGCGCUACCACGGUAUGAUCGACGAU